UUUUUUGUUUUUUUGUUCUAUCUAUCUAUCACUACACAAUUUAAUCUUGCAAGUAACCAAUGAGGGAUUGACAACCCCUUGUUUGCGUUGGGUGCAAGGAUUUGUUAUUUUGUGUGCAACUGCUACUAACGAGGUGUUGCAUGGUUCUCCUACUGGAUUCAUAACCUUUGUUCUUAACUGAGGGAAAUACUUAUCUCUACUAUACUGCAUCAUCCCCUCCUCUUCGAGGAAAUCCCAACGCUGCUCACAAGUAGCAGGCUUGUUUCUCGAAUAAAUAGCAUAUUGUGGGUAAACAAAUUACAAUGGGGCAAUUGAUAGAAAAGCACAUAGUUAUGACGUAUUCAUGGCAAUGAUCAUGUAUAUAGGCACCAUGUCCAUGACAAGUAGACCGACUCCUUCCUGCAUCAACUACUAUUACUCCACCAAUCAACCGCUAUCCAGCAUGCAUCUAUGGUAUUAAGUUCAUGACAAACAAAGUAACGCCUUAAGCAAGAUGACAUGAUGUAGACAAAGUAAAAUUAAGCAAUAUGAUUAAACCCCAUCGUUUUACCCUUAAUAUAAACAAUGAAAUGUAUGCCUCGCUACCCCUUCUAUCACUGUGUGAGGACACCGCAAGAUUGAACCCAUUACAAAGCACAUCUCCCGUUGAAGAUAAAUCAAUCUAGUUGGCCAAACCAAAUGGACAAGAGAUACAAAGCUAUAACAAUCAUGCAUAAAAAAGUUCAAAAAAGACUCAAUUACUUUCAAUUAAUAAUGUGAUCAUAAACCCACAAUCCAUCGGAUCCCAACAAACACAUCGCAAAAGAAUAUUACAUCGGAUAGAACUCCAAGAAGAUUGAGGAGAACAUUGUAUUGAAGAUCGAAGAGAGAGAGAGAAGAAUCGAUCUAGAUACUAGCAAUGGACCCAUAGGUCUAAGGUGAACUACUCACACAUCAACAAAAGGCAUCAAGGAUGAUGUAGAAGCCUUUCGUGAUAGAUUCCCCCUCCGGCAGAGUAUCGGAAAGACCUCCACAUGGGAUCACGGAAGAACGGAAGCUUGUGUCGGCGGAAAGAGUGUUUCGGGUGGUUCUCUGUUGGUUUGGGAAUAUUUGUGAAUUUAUAGAGGGGAAAUUAGGUCAAAUGGAGCUGCGUGAGACCCACAAGCUCAAGGGGCAGCGCCUACCCCCCUCGGGCGCACCCUAUAAGCUCAUGGCUCUCCCGUAGGUCUUAUGGCCUCCUCCCGAACCUUCUAGGGUCCCUUCUGGUCGAGAAAAAUCACCGUAAAGUUUAAACGUGUUUGGACUUCAUUUGGUAUUAAUUUUUCAGAAAAGCCAAAAACAAGCAAAAAAAUAGGAACUUGCACUGGCAUGGGUUAAUAGGUCAGUCCAAUAAAAUGAUAUAAAAUAGCAUAAUAAUGCAUAUAAAGCAUCCAAGAUUGAUAAUAUAAUAGCAUGAAACAAUCAAAAAUUAUAGAUACGUUGAAGACGUAUCAGCACCCCCAAGCUUAAUUCCUGCUCGUCCUUGAGUAGGUAAAUGAUAAAAACAGAAAUUUUGAUGUUGAAUGCUACCUAACAAAUGUUACCUCUUAAAGGUAUAAAUAUUGAGAAACGAUGAAGUAACAAUAUCAACAUAAUAAUAUCCAUGAAUAUAAGAAGAAUAAUCAUUACUUUUUCAAAAUAUACGAUCCUUAACGAAUGUUAUCAAUACUCAUUUUAUCAUGUUAGCAUGGCAUGACCCCAUCUUCACCGCAUAAAUAUAAAUCAUGUGCGCUGCUACUUGUGAAAUCCGCUAAGUGCAAAUUAAGAGAACAUUCAUCCAUAUUAGUAAAGCCUAGCACAUCACAUAAAGACUUUGGUAUUGUGGAAACACUAGCACCCAAAUCAGAUAAAGCAUUGCACUCAUAAUUUUUAAUUUUAACUUUAAUGGUAGGUUCCCACUCAUCAUUUAAUUUCCUAGGUAUUGAAACUUCCAAUGUAGCUUUUCUUCUAAAGCUUUCAUCAUCGCUUCUACGAUAUGUUUAGUAAAAACCUUAUUUAGUUCAUAAGCAUUGGGUGAAUUUAGCAUAGAUUGCAAUAAGGAAAUACACUCAAUUAAAGAACAAAUAUAAUAAUUAAAAUCCUUGAAAUCCGAAGAAGUGGGCACAUCACUAUUUAAAGUUUUAACCUCUCCAAAGCCACUUUUAUCAAAAAAAAUCAUUAAGAUUUUCACCCUCCGAACAAUGGGGAUGCCUUCUAGCUAAAGUUGACUCUUCUUUAGUCCCCUUUUCAUAAAGUUUUAUAUUACUAAAAAAAAUCAAUGGGUGUAAUACCAAUCAUUUUAAUAUCUUCAUCAUGGCCAAAUGCUAAAUACUCCCGCUUAGCUGCCAUCUUGUUUACUAGUGUAGUUUGCGCAUCGAAUUUUUUCCUAGCUAAUUUUCAGUAAGAGCAAGCUGAGAUUGAAGAUCGGCAAAUUCUUCAUUAACAUCAUUGAGUUGUUUUCCAAUAACAUCUAAUAAGGUAGAGUGUUACUUAAGCUCAUCAGUAAAAAAAUGUUGUGCUCAUAUUGCAUAAACAUGAAGUCCUUAGUUUUUUUUGCAAUUUCAACCCACCUUUUAUGAAAAGAGAUAUCAUAGUAAUUUUCUCGAGACAUUGCGAGAAAGCAAGCAAACAAGCAAAAAGGCAAAUGGAAAAUAUUUUUGUGUUUUUUUGAAAAUGUUUUAGAAGUGGGGGAGAUGAAAACGAGAAGAAAAUAGCAAAUAAAAGUAAAUACAAGGAGAUGCAAGUUUAUGGAUGGUACUUAAUAGAUGUUGAUGAUGUCUCUCCGUUAACGGCGACAGAAAUUCUUCUUGCUACUUGUGAGCUGCGCAAGGAUUUCCUCGAAGAGGAGAGGAUGAUUCAGUAUAGUAGAGAUAAGUAUUUCCCUCACUUAAGAACCAAGGUUAUAAAUCCAAUAGGAGAACCACGCAACACCUUGUUAGCACUACCUACAAACAAAACAACAAAUACUUGCACCCAACGCAAACAAGGGGUUGUCAAUCCCUUGGCGGUUAAUUGCAAGGAUCAAAUUUCGUAAUGAUAGAUAGAUAAUCAAAAACACAAAAUAAAAUAAAGGUAAAUAAAUUGCAGCAAGGAAUUUUUGGAUUUUAACAUAUGAUUAAAAUAGACCCGGGGGCAUAGUUUUCACUAGAGGCUUCUCUCUUGAACAUACAUACGGUGGGUAAACAAAUUAUUGUUGGGCAAUUGAUACAAAAGCCAAUAAUCAUGACGAUAUCCAAGGCAAUGAUCAUGUAUAUAGGCAUCACGUUUGAGACAAGUAGACCGACUCCUGCCUGCAUCUACAACUAUUACUCCACACAUCGACCGCUGUCCAGCAUGCAUCUAGAGUAUUAAGUUCAUAAAGAAUAGAGUAACACCUUAAGCAAGAUGACAUGAUGUAGACAAAGUAAAUCCAAUCAAUAUUAAUAAACCCCAUCUUUCUAUCCUUAAUGGCAACUAUACAAGUACUUGUCAUGUCCCUUUCUGUCACUGGGAUUGAUCAACGCAAGAUCGAACCCAUCACAAAGGACAUCUCCCAUUACAAGAUAAAUCGAUCUAUUUGGCCAAACCAAACGAAUAAAUCAGAGACAAAUACAAAUCUAUAACAAUCAUGCAUAAAAGAGUUCAGAGAAGACUCAAAUAAUAUUUAUGGAUAAUUUGAUCAUAAACAAACAAUUCAUUGGAUCCGAACAAACACACUGCAAAAAAGGAUUACAUCGAAUAGAUCCCCAAGAACAUCAAGGAGUACAUUGUAUUGAAGAUCAAAUAGAGAGAAGAAGCCAUGUACCUACUAGCUAUGGACCUAUAGGUCUAUGGUAAACUACUCACACAUCAUCGGAGGGGCAGCAAGGUUGAUGUAGAAGCCCUCUGUGAUCAAUUCCCCCUCCGGCGGAGUGUCGAAAAGGUCUCCAGAUGGGAUCUUGCGAGAACAGAAACUUGUGGCAGCGAAAAAACUAUUUUGGGUGGCUCUCUGAUGUAUGAGGAAUAUUUGAGAAUUUAUAGAGGCGGAAUUAGGUCAAGAGGUGCCACGAGGGACCCACAAGCCUAGGGGAGCUGCACCCCCUGCCCCCGGGGUGCGCCUCCCGAGCUUGUCGCUCCCUCACGGCUCAUCGGGUCUUCUCCCGAACCUUCUAGGGUCCCUUCUGGUCCAGAAAAAAUAAUCCAAAGUUUUUUCUCUGUUUGGACUCUGUUUGAUAUUGAUUUCCUGUAAAGCCAAAAACAAGCAAAAACAGCAACUGGCACUGGGCAAGGUUAAUAGGUUAGUCCCAAAAAGAAUGAUAUAUAAUUGCAUAAUAAACAUCCAAGAUUGAUAAUAAUAACAUGGAACAACAAAAAAUUAUAGAUGCGUUGGAGAAGUAUCAAGCACCUUGGUGUCAAACCAGGCAAUUGGAUCGUACUUCUAAUGCGCUUUAGCAUUUUCAGCCCCACGCAAUACAUGAGUGUGGGUCAUGGAUAUAGCAAUAUAGGUGGAAUACAAUGCGGUGGUACAGAUCAAUAAGGGAAGUCAAAAAGGAAGAAAGUCUCGCAUCAACACGGCUGGAAAAUUGCGGAAAGGUAGUGAUACAUCUCCAUCGUAUCUACUUUUCCAAACUCUCGUGCCCUUGUUUUGGACUCUAAUUUGCGUGAUUUGAAUGGAACUAACCCGGUCUGACGAUGUUUUCAGCAGAAUUGCCUUGGUGUUAUUUUUGUGCAGAAAUAAAAGUUCUCAGAAUGACCUGAAAUUUUACAGAGAAUAUUUUUGGAAUAUAUAAAAAUAUUGGCAAAAGAAUCAACCAGAGGGGGUCCACCCAUUGGCCACAAACCUGGGGCGCCCCCCACCCUGGGGCAAGCCUAGGUGGCUUGUGGGCCCUCUGGAGCUCCUCCAACCCUAACUCCAACUAUAUAAGUACCUAUUCGCGGAGAAAAAAAUCAGGGAGAAGGAUUCAUUGCAUUUUACGAUAUGGAGCCGAUGCCACCUCCCGUUCUUCAUCGGGAGGGCUGAUCUAGAGUCUGUUCCAGGCUCCGGAGAGGGGGAUUCGUCGCCAUCAUCAUCACCAGCCUUCCUCCAUCACCAAUUUCAUGAUGCUCAUCAUUGUGCGUGAGUAAUUCCAUCGUAGGCUUGGUGGACGGUGAUGGGUUGGAUGAAAUUUAUCAUGUAAUAGAGUUAGUUUUGUUAGGGUUUGAUCCCUAGUGUCCACUAUGUUCUGAGAUUGAUGUUGCUAUGACUUUGCUAUGCUUAAUGCUUGUCACUAGGGCCCGAGUGCCAUGAUUUUAGAUCUGAACCUAUUAUAUUUUCAUGAAUAUAUUUUUGUUCUUGAUCCUAUCUUGAAAGUUGUAGACAUCUAUUACGAAUUAUGAUCCGCAUACCCCAAGGUGACAAUAAUUGUGAUUCUUUCCGGUGAUUACUGUAGUUUGAGGAGUUCAUGUAUUCACUAAGUGCUAAUGCUUUGGUCCGGUUCUCUAUUAAAAGGAGGCCUUAAUAUCCCUUAGUUUCCAUUAGGACCCCACUGCCAUGGGAGGGUAGGACAAAAGAUGUCAUGCAAGUUCUUUUCCAUAAGCAUGUAUGACUAUAUACGGAAUACAUGCCUACAUUAUAUUGAUGAAUUGGAGCUAGUUCUGGGUCACCUUAGGUUAUGACUACUACAUGAUGAAUAUCAUCUGACACAAUUAUCAUUGCCGAUCAAUUGCCUACGAACUUUUCACACAUUGAUCUUCGCUAAGUUACUUUCGUUGCUACUGUUGUUACAAUCACUACAAAACUGCUACUAUUACUUUUGCCACCGUUACCGUUACUUCCAUAUUACUUUGCUACUAAAUAAUUUGCUACAGAUAUUAAGUAUUUCAAGUGUGGUUUAAUUGAAAACUCAGCUGCUAAUACUUGAAUAUUCUUGGCUCCCCUAGUGUCGAAUCAAUAAAUUUGGGUUGAAUACUCUACCCUCGAAAACUGUUGCGAUCCCUAUACUUAUGGGUUAUCAGGGAGGAGUGUGUAUAAUCCAUGGACUCACAUUAGUCAUAAAGAAAUCAUAUAGUUAUUAUGAAAGUCAAUUAGCCCUCAAAGCAAAGUACUACUCGCAUGCCCCUAUGGAAUAGGUUGGUAGGAGUUAAACAUUGCGCGCAUCCAAUUAUAACAGCACUCAAGGACUUCAAUCAGAAUACAAAUGCUCAAACCUCCCCACCAUGCCAUGACCAACAAUUAGAUAUUUAUACUAACCAAUGAUCAUGAACCAAUAUCCUUUCAUAUACGACAUCAAUAUAAUUAAACCAAACACUUCAUAUUUAGUGAUCUACAUGCAAGUUUUUAUUAUAUCCCCCUUGAUAACCUAUCAUUCUUGGACUAAUAUUAUAACACGUGCACAUUAUGAAAUACUAUUCAUAGACUGUAAAAAAGAUUUAAGUGAAGCAUGAGAGUGCAACCAUUUCUAUAAAAUAUAACCACUGCAUGCUCUAAAAGAUAUAAGUGAAGCGCUAGAGCAACUGUCUAGCUCCAAAGAUAUAAGUGAAGCACAUAGAGUAUUCUAAAAAAUCACGAUAAAUAUGUGUCCCUCUCAAAAGGUGUGUCCAGCAAACAAUGAUUAUGGCAAACUAAAAGGAAAACAAAGCAAAAACUAUGGCGCAAAAUGCUCCGAGCAAAACUCAUAUCAUGUGAUGAAUAAAAUGUAGCUCCAAGUAACAUACCAAUAGAUUGUAGACGAAAGACGGGAUGCCAUCCUGGGCAUCCCCAAGCUUAGACGCUUGGGUCUUCCUUGAAUAUUACCUUGGGGUGCAUUGGGCAUCCCCAAGCUUAGGGUCUUGCUGCUACUUAUUCCUUCAUCCAUGAUGAUCUCCCAAAACUUGAAAACUUUAGCACACAAAACUCAACAGAAACCUCAUGAGAUCCAUAGUAUAAUAGACAAAUCAUAAACUUUGUGUACUGUUAUAAACUCAUUCAUAAUUUAUUGUUGCAUAAUACCUACUAUAUUCUAACUUCUCUGUGACUUAUACCCCCCCGAUAUAAUCCAUAGCAUCAUUAAAACAAGCACACUAUGCAAUAGAAAAUAGAAUCUGUCUAAAACAGAACAGUCUAUAAUGAUCUGAACAAAAACUAUACUUCUUUAACUCCAAAAAUUCUGAAAAAUUAGGACAAUGUGGGAAAUUUGUAUAUCAAUUAUUUUUUAAAAAAUUCAGGAUUUCAUCACGUUCCAGUGAAUUAUAGUAAUUCCAGCACUGGGAGCAAAAGUUUCUGUUUUUUCACGGAAUCAAGUCAACUAUUAUCCAAAUCAUCCCAAAGGAUUUACGUGGCACAAACACUAACAUAAAAACACAAUCAUUAUAGUAGAAAUAAUCAUGUCAACACACAAAACAGAAAUAAAAAGCAAAAUUAUAACUAUUGGGUUGCCUCCCAAAAAGCUCUUUCUUUAUAGCCAUUAAGAUAGGCUUGAGAUUUCAAUGAUGCUCGCAUGAAAGACAAGAAUUGAAGCAUAAAGAGAGCAUCAUAAAACAUGUGAAUCCACAUUUAAGUCUAAUAUACUUCGUAUGCAUAGGCAUUUUGUAGGAAAACAAAUUAUCAAGACAAGCAAUAUCUAGCAUAUGCAAAUAGGAAGAAUGAAACAUUAAUAAUUUCAACGCAAAGAGAGGUAAUUUACUGACGUGAAGAUUUUUAUUACCAUCUCUGCCUCUCUCUCUCUCAAAAUAAUUACAUGUAGGAUCAUAUUAAAAUUCAACAAUAUAGCUAUCAGAUAACAUAUUCUCUACAUGAUCUACAUGCAUGCAAAGUUUAUACUCUUCCAAAAUAGUGGGAUUAACAUCAACUAAAGUCAUGACCUCUCCAAACCCACUUUUAUCCAGAAAAAUCAUAAGAUUGAACACUCUCCGAAUAUGUGGGAUUAUUUUGACCUAAAUUUGACACUCUUCCAAACCCACUUUCAAUAUUAUUGCAAACAUUAUUAUCAAUAACAUAUUCAUCAUGGGGCUUAAAUAAAUUUUCAAGAUCAUAAGAAGAAUCACCCCAAUCAUGCUCAUUACAAUGAGUAGUGGACAUAACAAAAUCAUCAUCCCUAAGCUUGUAGUUUUGCAUAAUAUUAGCACAAUUGAUAUUAAUAGAAUUUAUAAUUAUGUUAUUGCAAUCAUGAUUUUCAUUCAAGGAGCCAUCAUGAAUCAUUUUAUAAAUUUCUUAUUUUAACACUUCAUCACAAUUUUCAGAUUCACGAUUUUCAAGCAAAACGUCAUAAAGAUAAUCAAGUGCACUCAACUCACUAGCAAUUGGUUCAUCAUAAUUGUAUUAUUUUUUUUGAACAGAUUAGCAAGUGGAUGAGGAUCCAUAUCAAUAUUUUUUAGCAAGCAGAGUGCAAGCAAAUAGAAGGCACAUGGCAACACAAGCAAAGAUGGCACACAAAAUAUUUUUGGUAUUUUUGAAUUUUUUUUUAGAGAAUUAGAGGGAGAUGAAAAAGAGAGGAGAAUAAAAAGGCAAAUGAAAAGUAGAACAAGUAGAUGAUAGUUUGAGUGAAGUUACUUGUAGUGAUUUGAUGAUGUCUCCCCGGCAACGGCGCCAGAAAUUAUUUCUGCUACAUGUGAGUUGCUUUGGGAUUUUCCCCAAAGAGAAAGGGUGAAGCAAUACAGUAGAGAUAAGUAUUUUCCUCAGUGAUAACCAAGGUUUAUCGAACCAAAAGGAGAACCACACAAAUCCUAGUGAACAGCACCUGCAUAUACAAAAGCAAAUACUUGCACCCAACACGGGCAAGAGAGUUGUCAAUCCCCUUGAGCUCAUUACUUGCAAGGAUCAAAUCUUGUAUAUGUAGAUAGAUAAAUUUCAAAACAAAAUAAAAGUAAAUAAAUUAACAAGGUAUUUUUGGUUUUUAUAAUAUGAUUAAAGUAGACCCGGAGGCCAUAGUUUUCACUAGAGGCUUCUCUCUCUCGAAACAAUAGCAUACGCUGGGUAAACAAAUUACUGUUGGGCAACUGAUAGAAAAGCACAUAGUUAUGACGUAUUCAUGGCAAUGGUCAUGUAUAUAGGCAUCACCUUCAUGACAAGUAGAUCGACUCCUGCCUUCAUCUACUACUAUUACUCCACCAAUCGACCACUAUCCAGCAUGCAUCUAUGGUAUUAAGUUCAUGACAAACAGAGUAACGCCUUAAGCAAGAUGACAUGAUCUAGACAAAGUAAACUCAAGCAAUAUAAUUAAACCCCAUCGGUUUACCCUUAAUAGUACCAAUACAAUACGUGCCUCACUACCUCUUCUGUUAUUGGGUGAGUACACCGCAAGAUUUAACCCAUUACAGAGCACCUCUCCCACUGAAGAUAAAUCAAUCUAGUUGGCCAAACCAAACGGAUAGAUCAGAGAAAUACAAAGAUAUAACAAUCAUGCAUAAUAAAGUUCAGAAGCCUCAAUUACUUUCAAUGAAUAAUCUGAUCAUAAACCCACAAUUCAUUGGAUCCCAAUAAACAUAGCGCAAAAAUAUUACAUCGGAUAGAACUCUAAGAAGAUCAAGGAGAACAUUGUAUUGAAGAUCAAAGAGAGAAAAGAAGCCAUCUAGCUACUAGCUAUGGACCCGUAGGUCUGUGGUGCUCAUGCAUCAUCAAAAGGCAGCAAGGAUGAUGUAGAGCCCUCCGUGAUCGAUUCCCCCUUUGGUAGAGUACCGGAAAAGGCCUCCAGAUGGGAUUGCGGAAGAACAGAAGCUUGCGGCAGUGGAAAAAAUGUUUCGGGUGGCUCUCUGUUGGUUUUGGAAUAUUUGUGAAUUUAUAGAGGUGAAAUUAGGUCAAAUGGAGCUUCGUGGGACCCACAAGCUCAGGGGCGUGCCUACCCCCUGGGUGCGCCCUGUGAGCUUGUCGUUCUCCCUUAGGUCUUCUGGCCUCCUCCUGAACCUUACAGGGUCACUUCUAGUCCAGAAAAAAUCACCGUAAAGUUUCAUCGUGUUUGGACUUCAUUUGGUACUGAUUUUUUGAAAAGCCAAAAACAAGCAAAAAAACAAGAGCUGACACUGGACACUGGAUUAAUAGGUUAGUCCUAAAAAAUAAUAUAAAAUAACAUAUGAAGCAUCCAAAAUUGAUAAUAUAAUAGCACAAAACAAUCAAAAAUUAUAGAUAUGUUGGAGACGUAUCAGUUAGCACCAAGACUACUAUAACACACUACACAAUAGUACACAUGGAUCAUGAAGUUUAACACAACACCAUGGAUCUUCAAGCUCAAAGCAUACCAUGAACUUUAACACACUACCACACCUACAUAUCAAUCAUACUUGCAAACUAGCAUACUGCACAUGUUCUGAUUCACAAGCUAGUAUAACAUGGAAAACAGCAUGAACAUGAUGAUACAACUCAAACGUAUCUAUAACUUUUGUUUAUUCCAUGCCAUAUUUUUGUUAAAUUAGUAUACUUUUGGCACCUAUUUAAAUCAAUUUAUAUUAUUUUUAUGGAAUAACCUAUUAACUCAUUGCCCAAUAUCAGUUGUUGUUUUCUAUUGUUUUUGGACUUUGCACAAAAAUAAUUUUUGUCAGACUCAAAAAAAUCAGUGCAAUAUUCAAGUCCAGAAGCUUCCGAGGAGCACUGACAUAGGCCAUGGGUACACACAGGGGUCCACGCCCUUCCCGUGACAAGCAAACGAGGGGGGUUGAUUCGUUCGUUGGGAGCAGCUCGCCCUAGCGACCAAAUUCGUUUCGAUCAACCCCUCCCUCCUGGCGAAUGGUCACAAGUAAUUCGGGUCCUAAAAAAUACACAUCUCUACCCACUUGUUUUGUUUCUGACCGAAAAACUUUCAUGCUCGGUAAGAUACGCUUGACUAGUUGGGUCUAAUCCCACCAAACAAACCAUUUUUCCUUUCGAGGGGCCUUCAAGCAGAGGUGACAGUAUAUCACGUAAUGGCUAUGAAAUAUAUAUAUAUUAACAAAUACACCCAAAAGGCAUCUUAAGUUUUAUUAAUAUCAAGAAAAGCAUAUGUAAAACAACAAGUAAAAAUAAAAUUACAUUAAAAAGUAUACUCGUCUUCUUAUUGUACGCCGCCCGCCGAAGACUAGAAAUUGCAUUGAACCAACAGCAAAGAAAAGCAAUACGUACAAACACCCUCAUCGUACCAGACUUUAAACAUCGCAAUAGUCACUCGCUCCUUGAGACAAGAUAUAAGAAAUCGCUAAAAACAGCAUCGGUUGAAGCAUCAUUCACGCAGAACAGAUUUACAAUUCACCACCAUUAAUUUAGAGGGUUGGAUAAACCGAAUAAGCCACAGACCAACAGAGAAGAUGUCAAAGUCACUACAUGUCAAAAUUGCCACACCAAAAAAUAGUCAAAAGCUCUUCUUAUAAAACACACAAAUACCGAAAAUCUGAAGGGAACCAAUGUGGACACAAACUCUCACAAACACACGAACGUCCAAAAUCUAAAGGGAACCAAUGCGGAUACAAACUCUUACACGCCCUUCGUCGGUAGCCGAUCUGACAUUGUAAGUCAAGGAAAGACCUUAUUCUAACAUGCCGACACCACCACCUCAUCGAUGUCACCGAAGAAGCAAAACAUAAGAAUAAUAAAACGACACGGGUUAAGGUGGCAACUGUUGCGGCUAGGUUUGGGAGGCGGCGGCGACUGUAGCAACUACGCGAGAUCACGUGCUGGAUGAACAACCCCACGAGACGGUUAUGGAAUAUUCACCAUCGUCACUCAGGCUCAGCCAGAGGCCAGCAAGGGAAGCAAACUCACCCGAAACAAGUGUGAUGUAGCUACAAUGUUGUCUUCUAUGAGUAUAUACAUGGUGGGAUACUAGAUGCAAACAGAUACAUCACAUUACAUUAUAUUAUAACUGAGCACUAUUCCAGCCCUCUCAGACCAUUAGUGCUUUUGACUGUCAGAUUUGCACUCCUAAACGUUUUUGGCCGUUUGAUCAAAGUCUUAGCACCGGAAUGGGCAGCUGCUCCCACAACAAAAUUGAAGGCACUUGGUUAACUGGGCCUGAUUCUGGCUUGAAGCGAAGCCCAUUUAGGCCUCACGUGGAACACGAACCAUCCCUUCGUUCCGAGUUCUACGGAAUUCUCUCACAACACGCCCAUCCCUAACCGCGCUUGGCAGCAGCGGCGACGGCGAAACGGCCCCCCUCCAGGAUCCAGGUGAGCUCUUUCUCUCUCUCCAUUGCAGCGCUGGCGAACAAGACCGCAGAUCAGGACCGCAACCCCCUUCCUCAUCACAGUGGCGCGCGUCCUCCUCUCAUGACCAAGGCAAAAAACCAAUCUUGUAUGCAAGCAGGUCGUCAGUUCGUCACACCACCGCAUCCGAAUGUCCGCAGAUUCCUCCAUCUGUUUUUUUAGAUCCAUCUGGUUGUUGUGUAGAUAAGUAUGCGAGCAAGUCAUCUGUUCGUCACACCACCGCAUCCAAAAUGUCUGCAGAUUCCUCUAUCUGGUUGUUGUGUUGAUAAGAAAAGUAAGAUAGCCUACAGGUUCGGAUAUUAAAUCCAGUGAUUCAUCAAUAUACUUUUAGGACGGAAGAUAAGUAAAGCAAUAUUAUUAUUAUAUUCUCCACCUAAUUUCCAUCUGCCUGCAAUCUGAUUGCUAUAUACACGUACUGCUGAAUUUUGUAAGUUGAGCAUACUUGCAUACUCGAAAGAUUGAAACCUCGGUUUAUUCAUGGUACAGGAUAUCAAUUUGCAUUAGUACUAUCUAUGCGUAUGUUCUAUGAGAAGCUGGUCAGUAUGUUUCCUUGAUAUUCUAUCUCUGAUGUGUACUUAAAUAAUUUACUUGGUAAUAUUCCCCUUUUAAGAUCAAAAGUGUGCACUUACAUUAGGGGAAAAUAUGUCUGUAGCUUCAAUUUAGAUAAAGCAGUCUCACAUGAAGUCUCCCGUUUAUUUAAUUACAAACUCCAAUAACAUUCCUCUAAUACAGUGUGCAGCAAUUGGACUAAAAUUGCUACAAGAAAAGGGAUGUGCACUGAGAAGCGAUAUAUUUUAGUUGUCUAAGAAGUAGAGGUAAUACAUAUGCAUCUUCUACCAGUCAAGGUCUUCUUUACGCUGGUUUUACCCGCUUCAUAUAAUUUCCUCGAUCUCAAUUCUUGAAUUUUGGCACAAAUUUUAAAAGAAAUAGUAAAAAUGAUGCAUGGAAAUUUCAGAGUGAAAAAUAAAGACAGUAUGAAACAUGAAGAACUACCACAAAAAUUGUACACCAGGGAGAUGGAAAACAUGCUACUCCUUUAUAUCCAGUUUAUGCAUGGUGAAUUCCUAUCUUUGUCUAUAUUUAUUUACCAUACCCUGAUCAUAGACCUGUACUUCACUUUGCGUUUUAUUCCAUGUGGUUAAUUUGUACUCCCUCUGUAAACUAAUAUAAGAGUGUUUAGAUCACUAAAGUAGUGAUCUAAACGCUCCUAUAUUAGUUUACGGAGGGAGUACCCAACAACGAUGAUGUGUUCUGUAAAGGAUUUUCUUCACAUUUAAUGGUUUUUGAAGAUUUGGUCUGUUCCACAUGAUACAAGCUAGCACUCACAUUGUUUGAAUGCAUCGAGCCUUGGAUUGAGGAAGUGAGUUCUCAAUAUUUCCAGUUGUGCAUGACUGAGCAUAUAUAUUACAAUCUAGACUUACUGAAUAUUUUUGUGAGCUUGCAACUCUAUCAUGAUCAAAACCCUUGUUGCCUACAACUGGAGAAUGCUAGGUCCAAUGCUUGCAUAUCCAACAUACUAUAUGUACCACAGGCUCACUAUUUGUAACGCCCCGAGCCCGAUGUGCCAGGUGUCCUCCAGUUUUUUGCUGUUGUUGCCUUGUCAUUGUUUGCGUGUCAUGCAUUGCAUAUCAUGUGCAUCGCAUUUGCAUACAUGUUCGUCUCAUGCAUCUGAGCAUUUUUCCCGUUGUCCGUUUUGCAAUCCGGCGCUCCUAUGUCUCCCGGUGUCCCUUUCUACCUCUUUUCGUGUGCGAGCGGUAAACAUUUUCGGAUUGGACCGAAACUUGUCAUGCGGCCUUGGUUUACUACCGGUAGACCGCCUGUCAAGUUUCGUGUCAUUUGGACUUCGUUUGAUACUCCAACGGUUAACCGGGUAGCCGCAAAGGCCUAUUUUUGUGUGCAGCCUAACACCCCUCCAAAGUGGCCCAAAACACACUUAAACCCCCUCCAUCAUCUCGAUCGUUCGAUCACGAUCGCGUGGCCGAAAACCGCACCUUAUUUGGACUCUCCUAGCUCCCUCUACCUAUAAAUAUGUGCUCUCCUCCGAAAUCUCUCGCAGAUGAAACCCCAAAAAUUUCCCCGCACGCCGCUGGACAUGUCCACCGCCGCCAACCACCUCGCUCCGGCAAAUCAGACGCCGCCACGUCGCCUUCGCCGCCGCUCUCCUCCAACUCCCGCGCGCCACGUCGCCUCCCGCCGGACCUCCUCUCUCCUCUGGCGCCGCGGGCCCGCGCGGCCCAGAUUCGGCCCGCGGGGCCCGAACCUCGGGCCCCUCUUCCUCGGCGACCUCGGGCCCCUCUUCCGCAACUCCGGCGUCCCAAGCUGCAACUCCGGCGAGCUCCCUCCGGCGAACUUCGAGAUCCGGAUGCUACAGUAACCGCCAGAUCCGAUCUGAGAACCCGGUUGACUUUCUUCCCGAAACCCUAGCAUUUUUGCAUACUUUGUCGCAUCAUAACUUCCUCAUCGUGGCUUUGAUUUGUGCGUGUAGCAUAUCAAAAUGUUCGUCUCGACGAGUACAUCAUUUCAUCUCAUUGCAUAACUUUUAUUUGAGCUCAUCUUGAUGGCCGAAAUGCUGUUGGAAGAGGGCUAUGUGAUGAUUAUGUCAGAUCUGUUUCAGCAAGUGCACUUUUGUCAUUUUUAUCAUGAUUAAUGUGUGCAUGCUAUGAUCCUGAGCUCUACAUGUGUUUUGAAGAAUGUCAUGCCAUCUUUACAGGGGUAUAUGCCAUGUAUUUUUGUGAUUUUUGUGGUGACUAGCACAAGCAUGCAAAAUAGCUUACUCAAUGUUGCUGAUUUCAGGGACUUAGAAUUUCACCAAGUCCUUGCCCUGUCAUUAUUUUUAUGCCAUAUGUUCAUGUUGUUUUCUAGUGAUUCGUGCCUAUUUUGAGCAUGAUCAGUAAGGAUGUUUUGUAUCUAAUGUUGUGCUCUAUCCAUUCAUGUCUUUGUUUGCAAUUAUGGAGAACCCUAGCUUGAGUCAAUCGAGCUCUACUUUUGCUAUAAAAUGUUCCUGGCAGAUUGUUAACAUGUUUAGCAAUUUUGCCGAGCUUGUUGUUGUUGAUCCAUGCAUGAUAUGUUGUUGUUCUUGCCAUGUCUAGCUUCUAUGACAUGUCUACUUGCUGGGUGUAUGCUUAGAGUAUCAUUCCAUGCUUUGUAGUGAGUGCAUCGAGCUCGUAAACAUGCCUACUUGUUAACUGUUUUGCAUGCUCCAGUUUUUUACCAAGUCUGAAUCUGUUUAUAUUUUUGCUAUGUUCACAUGCUUGCAAUUGUAUUUUAUGAUCUCUUUUGGCUCAUGGUCACUAAGGGACUUUUGUUAUAUGCUUUGAGUAGCUUCAUGCCAUGCCUUGUCUUGCCAUGAUAUAUUCCUGUAGCAUAUAGUUAUCGUGCUCUAAACAUUGCUUCCUGAUGAUUAAUUCCUGACAUGUUUAUUUCACUAAGUCUGAAACCUGUUAUCAUUUGCACUUUUGUCAUGCUUGUUUGAACCUGCUAUUGAGUGAAUUAGCCGUAGCUCAGUGUUCAUCUUUUGUUAAGCAUCUUGAGUGGAUCCCUAUCAUGUAUUUUGUUGCUAUGUUUGGGUGCAGUAGCAUGUUGUUCUUGUUGCAUUUAGAUGGCUACUUGCUGUUAAUCGCAGACCGGUGUCAUAUUUGUUUUGCUUGCCAUUUCCAAACCGUGCAUCUGAUUCCGGCGAUCUUUAUAUCGAUUUCGACCGAAAUCACCUCACCUUUCCAGUGGCACUCUUGGAUUUCCAAGUUGAGGCCAGGUUCAAUCAUUCCUUUUCAAAUCAUGCAUAAGCAUCACAUAUCGCAUCCCGCAUAUCAUGCCAUGUCCAUGUGUGGUUUGUUUACUAUGUUGUGUGUUUCUUUCCGGUGUUGCUUCUUCGGGUUGGUUCCGAUAACAUCGUGUUUGUGAGGACCCGUUCGACUACGUCCGUUUGUCUUCUUCAUGGACUCGUUCUUCUUCCUUGCGGGAUUUCAGGCAAGAUGACCAUACCCUCGAAAUCACUUCUAUCUUUACUUGCUAGAUGCUUGCUCUUUUGCUAUGCCUAUGCUGCGAUACCUACCACUUGCUUAUCAUGCCUCCCAUAUUGUUAAGCCAAGCCUCUAACCCACCUUGUCCUAGCAAACCGUUGUUUGGCUAUGUUACUGCUUUGCUCAACCCCUCUUAUAGCGUUGUUAGUUGCAGGUGAAGCUUGGAGCUUGUUCCAUGUUUGGAACAUGGUUAUUUUGUUGCGAUAUCACAAUAUAUCUUAUUUACUUAAUGCAUCUAUAUACUUGGUAAAGGGUGGAAGGCUCGGCCUUAUGCCUGGUGUUUUGUUCCACUCUUGUCGCCCUAGUUUCCGUCAUAUCGGUGUUAUGUUCCCGGAUUUUGCGUUCCUUACACGGUUGGGUUAUAAUGGGAACCCCUUGAUAGUUCUCCUUGAAUAAACGACUCCAGUAAGGCCCAACAUUGGUUUUACCAUUCGCCACCUAGGCUCUUUUUCCCUUGCGUUAGGCCAGCCCAAGGGUCAUCUUUAUUUUAACCCCCCCUCCCCGGGCCAGUGCCUGUCUAAGUGUUGGUCCAAACUGAGCGAUGUCCGGAGCUACCAGGGGCAACUCUGGGCUGGCCCACCUGACGUCUUGCUCAUCCGGUGUGCCCUGAGAACGAGAUAUGUGCAGCUCCUAUCGGGAUUUGUCGGCACAUCUGGGUGGUCUUGCUGGAUUUGUUUUACCAUUGUCGAGGAUGUCUUGUAACCGGGAUGCCGAGUCUGAUCGGAUUGUCUUGGGAGAAGGAAUAUCCUUCGUUGACCGUGAGAGCUUGUGAUGGGCUAAGUUGGGACACCCCUGCAGGGAUUUAAACUUUCGAAAGCCGUGCCCGCGGUUAUGGGCAGAUGGGAAUUUGUUAAUGUCCAGUUGUAGAAAACCUGAAACUUAUCUUAAGUAAAAUUCAUCAACCGUGUGUGUGGCCGUGAUGGUCUCUUUCCGGCGGAGUCCGGGAAGUGAACACGGUGUUAGAGUAAUGCUUGAUGUAGGUUGUUCUAGGAUCACUUCUUGAUCAUAGUUUCUCGAACGUGCUUUGCCUUCUCUUCUCGCUCUCAUUUGCGUAUGUUAGCCACCAACUAUGCUAGUCGCUUGCUGCAGCUCCACCUCAUACCUUUCACCCUACCUAUAAGAUUAAAUAGUUUUGAUCGCGAGGGUGUGAGAUUGCUGAGUCCCCGUGACUCACAGAUACUUCCAAAACUAGUUUGCAGGUGCCGAUGUUAUCGAGCAGGUGACGCAACCAAGCUCAAGGAGGAACUUGAUGAAGAUCUUGCCCUUUGUGUUGUUUCUCUUCCUUUUGAUCAGUGGUGGAGCCCAGUUGGGACGAUCGGGGAUCUGUGUAGCUUUUGGGAGUCUUCUUUUAUUUUGGUUCCGUAGUCGGACCUUGAUUGUAUCUGGAUGAUGUAAUGCUUUAUUCAUGUAUUGUGUGAAGUGGCGAUUGUAAGUCAACUAUGUGUCUCUUUCCUUUAUGUAUUACAUGGGUUGUGUGAAAAUUACCUCACUUGCGACAUUGCUUUCAAUGCGGUUAUACCUCCAAGUCGUGCUUCGACACGUGGGAGAUAUAGCCACAUCGAGGGUGUUACAAUAUUCCUCUCGUUGAGUAGUGCGACGUAUCACCACCUUCAAACAUAGAUUUGAAAAACCAUCAAUUGUUAAACUGCCAAUUAGAUGCCUCAUUAAAAAUGUCCUCGAGCCGCCAAAACUACAACCCAAUGACAGGUAUAUAAUUGCAUAAAUGAUGACUUAUGUGCUCACGUUUUUGACACUCAGGGAGAUCGUUUGAGGCUGAUUGUACAUUGCAUGUGGGGAGCUUACAUAUUAGAAGCUAAUAUUUUUUAUCAAAUGAUACUCAUUUUUUUACGCAACAUCAAGUGGCUGGUUUGCGAUCUUCAGCGUUUACUUUAGGUAUCUCUAAUUUAUAAAAUCAGGUAAAGUUCUUUUGAAAGAAAACUAUGAUGGUGGUCAUUUAUCUUAACUUUUUUUACGAACUAUAUCUCAAUAUAUUCUUAUAUGUUUUAAAGUAGGUACCUAAUUUUGCUCCACCAUUAGCAUGUGGGAGUUAUCAUAAUUAUCAUGGACACAUACAUGCAUGCACAUGCACUGAAAACUACUCCAUCCAUUCCUAAAUAUAGGCCUUUUUAGAGAUUUGAAUAUGGACCACAUAUGGAAUAUAUACGUAUUUUAGAGUGUAGAUUCACUCAUUUUGCUUCGUAUGUAGUCCAUAUUAGAACAUUUAAAAGACUUAUAUUUAGAAAGGGAGGGACUAAUCAAUUUAGGCAAUUCUCAUUUGAUACACAGGUUUUAUUUUCCCUACUUCAAAGAUAUAGUAAUAAGGACAGUUCCAUAAUCAUACUCAAUGUAGUAUUCUCAAUUGAUAGAUGGUGUUCUCUUACUUAUAUUAGGAAAUCCCCUCCUUGGGUAGUGUGGUGUUCUCCAAUGUAAAAUGAGCUUAUUAGGGAUGAUAGAUUACUCAUAUCAAUACAGAAUUUCUUCUUUUGCGGAAGCUCAUUUGGACAGAACUCCAAAUUAAGCGUGCUCAGCUUGGAGUAAUUUCAAGAUGGGUAACCGACCGGGAAGUUGCUUCCAGGUGCGCACGAGUGAGGACAAAGUACGCAGAGAAGACUAGUAUUGAUCUGUGGGGCCGGUCUAGACCCCGCCAGGAGUAACGACCACCGGCGGGUGUGUCCGGGGCGUUACAAGUUGGUAUCAGAGCCGACCCUCACGGUUACACGGAUGUUUGCGGACAGGUGCGCGGUCAUGUUGUUCAUGACGUUUGUGACCCGUCGUGACACCCGGCAUGGAACAUGUACCAGACUGGAUGCACAGACGUAUGUGCCAAGAGGGAACAUUCCUGUGGGCCGACGAGGACGUCGGUUUCUCUGAAUGGGGGUGUAUGUAAUAGUCUAGCUUAUUAGGGAUGAUAUACUACUCAUAUCAAUAAGGAAUUUCUUCUUUUUCGGGAGCCCAUUCAGACAAAACUCCAAAGUUAAGCGUGCUCAGCUUAGUAAUUUCGACCGAAAAGUUGCUCCCGGAUGCGCACGAGUAAGGACAAAGUGCACAGAAAAAACUAGUAUUAAUCUGUAGGGCCAGUCUAGACCACCGACGGGUGUGUCCGGAGCGUUACAAGUAAGGGCUUUCUACACCCCACCUGCAGUUCAUAAAACCUUAUAUGUACUGGAGGAGCUUUGGCGAGUCCCAUAUACUCAGGAUUCUUGUUUUGGCUAUUUAUGUGUGUUGAUUUGUAUUAUUUUUUUUUGUUUGAUGUGCAAAUAAAUGACGUGUUCUUGCAUAUGUAGACAUGCUUUCUUAUGCUAUAAAGCAUGGAUUAGUUGUAACAGUUAACACAAUUUGAGGAACAUAAUCUGAAAUAAAUCUGAUUUGCAACCUUUCCUUUUAGAUUUGCUGGUAGAAACAAUCCUGAUAUGAACAUGAAGAAAUAGCCACUUAUGGAAAUAAGCAGCAUGUUCUUCUGGGGUGGAUAAAAUAAACAUACAUAUUUCCUGCCAAUAUAUACGAGUGAACAUGACUAUCAUUCUAUCGGAAAAAUAGACGGGCACGGCAACGCACGCCGUCAAUGAUCUAGUAGAUCGGAAAAGCACACCAUAUUGCUGCAACAACGACCAGAGUCAUCAGCAAGUUAAAUUGUUGUCAUAGAUAUCGCCAGAUUAUGAUAUAUAGAGGUCUCCUUUAAGUCGAAAAUACGACAGUACGUACUCGAUAACGCAUUCAACAGCUCCUAAGGCUAAGUUCCAGCUAAGUCAAACACAAAACAAAACAGUCUCGAAAGGGUCACAUGACUACACCCUUCAGACACCCACAGCCUCUGCAGACAACGAUUCAUCAGGACCCACCAAAGCCAACCAAGGCCUCAG
This 19954-nucleotide long non-coding RNA is filed under the name Triticum aestivum (bread wheat). RNAcentral describes it as "long non-coding RNA (TAES_LNC010369)". The stretch from base 13221 to 13307 matches the Rfam family "MIR1120/MIR1122 microRNA precursor family". The record is from RNAcentral. Lineage: Eukaryota; Viridiplantae; Streptophyta; Magnoliopsida; Poales; Poaceae.